RNAcentral lists this long non-coding RNA (246 nucleotides) under Hordeum vulgare. Its description in RNAcentral is "long non-coding RNA (HVUL_LNC009030)". The record is from RNAcentral. Lineage: Eukaryota; Viridiplantae; Streptophyta; Magnoliopsida; Poales; Poaceae.
AUCAAACUCUGCACUGCCACCAUGCUUCGCCGGUCGAUUUCGUCACCUACAGAUACCCCGACGAUCUGUGUUUGCUUCUUACUUUAUCGAUCUUUGCUCUUCCUCUCUCUGAACCUUUUCCUCCAAUCGCAGAGGAACAUGUCGAGCUCCCCAUCCUCGCCCGAAGGAAGCUUCCACUACCGCAACACAAUUAAGCACCCCUACAUCUAGAGACCGUCCCGGGUACAGACGAAUACGUCUGUGAGA